AUGUGCUCUCUGGUAUGGGUCCCAAAACCCUCUCCAUCAUUGCUAGGUGUUCCAGGUUCUCAUGUGUCUGAAACAAUGUCUCCCCCUAUAAACUUUAGGGUUAGGACCAUAUAUCAAGGUAAAAGAGGAAAGACAGGCAUCACAAGCAAUCUAACCGAGCAUAGCUCAACGAGGAUGCAACCAACACUCCAAAUAUCACAUGGCAAACUCCAGCCUAAGCCUGCCAAAGGAAUAUUCCGUAACAUCAGAACUCAGGAUUCCACUCUUCGAGUAGAAACAUUAGCCACUGCUACAGCAGUUGGUCUAACACCAAGGAGAAAGGAGAAAAGAUGA
Molecule: ribosomal RNA, 333 nt
Filed under: Triticum aestivum (bread wheat)
Lineage: Eukaryota; Viridiplantae; Streptophyta; Magnoliopsida; Poales; Poaceae
Description: partial small subunit ribosomal RNA
Source: RNAcentral